RNAcentral lists this ribosomal RNA (253 nucleotides) under uncultured bacterium. RNAcentral describes it as "partial 16S ribosomal RNA". It matches the Rfam family "Bacterial small subunit ribosomal RNA", at positions 524 to 776 of the family's 1533-position model. The record is from RNAcentral.
UACGGAGGGUGCGAGCGUUAAUCGGAAUUACUGGGCGUAAAGCGCACGCAGGCGGUUUGUUAAGCUAGAUGUGAAAGCCCCGGGCUCAACCUGGGAUGGUCAUUUAGAACUGGCAGACUAGAGUCUUGGAGAGGGGAGUGGAAUUCCAGGAGUAGCGGUGAAAUGCGUAGAUAUCUGGAGGAACAUCAGUGGCGAAGGCGACUCCCUGGCCAAAGACUGACGCUCAUGUGCGAAAGUGUGGGUAGCGAACAGG